This 926-nucleotide long non-coding RNA is filed under the name Numida meleagris (helmeted guineafowl). RNAcentral describes it as "lncRNA (ENSNMEG00000013120.1)". The record is from RNAcentral. Lineage: Eukaryota; Metazoa; Chordata; Aves; Galliformes; Numididae.
AGACAACAAACCUGUACUAGAAGGGUGUUCUGCCAAUGAAGGACAUAAUCAUCUGCUCUUCCACCCCUCCCUUGUUAACUUCCCUGUAUGUUAUUUAUUUUAUUUUGUUGUAACUUUUAGCAUCCUUAAAGCAAAUCACUGAGUACUCUGAAGUGUUAGAAAACGGAGUGCACAUACACAUGCAUGCAUGCACUGAUUCACAGGGUACGUGGGCUGCUCUUGCUUGCAUUCCUGGUGACUUGGUAACUGCAUCACUGGCACUGAAGGCAACUGGAAGCAGAAAAUCAAGGAAGGGUUAAUUAAAAAAAAAAAAAGAAGAAGAAAAGAGAGAGAGAGGAGCAAACUUUGCCUUGUUUGCACUGAUCUUACAUCAGUUUCCAUGGAAAUGGAAGUAGAACAAGCCAAGAGAAGCGGUGCAGCCAACUUCAGCUGUUGGCUUCUAGUUCUUGCUUCUGUUUCCAUGGAAAUAGAUGCCAAAUCAGCGAAAAAUAAGCUUACAGAUGGCUGAAGAAGAGUAUCUACAAAACGGAGACAACUACUUGCCUGCGCAAGAAGUAGAAGCCAGGGAACUACAGGCUGAUCAGCUUCACCUUCCUACCUACCUGGGAAGGUAUGGAGCCGCUAAUCCUGGAAGCCAUCUCUUGUCUAACUAUCAGUUUGCCCAAACUCAAAGGAUGGGAGAGAGGUUAAGUGUUAGGAGGAUAUUUUUAAAAAUGCCCUUAUUGUGGACAUGGGAAAUAGUGGAAGGGAAACUUCACUAGGACAGAUCACAGGUAAAGAUUUGAUAUCAGAAGGUUUUCUGCUCCACGUACUGUCACAAAUCUGACCAGAGGAUGCCCAUAUGUUAUGUCAACAUCAUUUUAAGGAAUCAGCUUCCAGCACUGGGACACCUCUGAUCUUGUUCAGACCAGAUCAUAACAAAGCUG